This 854-nucleotide long non-coding RNA is filed under the name Mytilus galloprovincialis (Mediterranean mussel). The record is from RNAcentral. Lineage: Eukaryota; Metazoa; Mollusca; Bivalvia; Mytilida; Mytilidae.
UUUUCUUGGAUCCGUGGUUAGCUACCACCAUUUCACAUUCGAAUUCCUUUAUCAAGUUACAAUAUCCCGAUCCUAUGAUGAAAAAUUCUUUGUUUUAUUGUUCAAAUAUGUAUUUAUUAUUUUUUUUAAAUUGCUGGUCAAAAACAUAUUAAGUAAAAUUCGAAAUAUGCUAAUUACCCUUGCAGAGCAUCUAGUCACCUUUUUUUAUAUAUAAAUAUUUAUUUUGUACGAGGAUUAUUUUCAUUUUUAUUUUAGAUUAGAUUCUUAACAUAUUUUGUACUGUCCUUUUCUUUUUGUCUUGUAUACUUAUUCAGUGGUUGUUUGUUUAUGUGUUCAAUUUGUUUUUCGUUCAUUUUUUGUACAUGAGUUAAGCCGUUAGUUUUCUCGUUUUACAUUGUUAUUUCGGGGCCUUUAAAGUUUUAUAGCUGACUAUGCGGUAUGGACUUUGCUCAUUGUUGACGGCCGUGCGAUGACCUAUUGUUGGUAAUUUCUGUCAUUUUGGUCUCUUGUGGAGAGUUGUCUAUUUGGCAAUCAUACCACAUCUUCUUUUUUUAUAUCUAUUGUAUACAUUUUGUUUUUGUCUCUGAUAUAGUCACCUUAAAAGGGUUCCUUGAUAGGAUCUUAAUUGUUAAAAUGACUGGUUUUGUGCUUAUUUUCAUUUCAAAUACCAUAUAUGAAUAUAAUAGGACAGACAAGGAAUAUGGAACGCCAUAGCUGUGUCACAGUGGAAAAAUGGACAAAAAUUGAUUUUGAUACUUUUUGGACAUUUUGUUAAAGAUUUUGUAAAACCAGUGAUUUUGUUAUAUUUGCAAUAUUUCACUAGGGAUUUUGAUAUUUUUAUUGUGCAAGAUUUA